Non-coding RNA from Schizosaccharomyces pombe (fission yeast), 485 nucleotides. The record is from the annotation of a GenBank genome assembly. Lineage: Eukaryota; Fungi; Ascomycota; Schizosaccharomycetes; Schizosaccharomycetales; Schizosaccharomycetaceae.
UAAUUUAUUAGCAGAAGAAACUAGGGUAGUGUAACAACAUACUCGAAUGAUAAAAGUCGUUUGAUUAACCUUAAUGACAAACGUUUAGCAGAGAUAUUCAAAGUUGGACAAAGUGUAGCAAGAUAAAAGUAAGCGAUAGCUGCACCUAUUCAAUUAAAAAAGCUUUGAUUGUUGCACUAUAAAGCGUAGUCAUAUAGUGGUCAAUACCCUGAACCACUUUGUAUGAGAAACUAGGUAUUGGAAGCAGAAAAUGAGGAGAACUCGGAUAUUAAUACCUAUUCCAUUUUUGCUAUGAUUCAGUCAAGCUAAUAUGAACGACAUUCAUUUUCUGGCAUUCAUCAUACUUUCAAUAUUGGUCUUGCCUUUACAAUUUAUUAAGUGAUUUCUUUCCAGCUUGUAUCUGGUAUAAUGUUGUCUUAUUCUGUAAAUCUCACUACCCGAUCGCCAUCUUUGUUCCAGAGAAAAUAAAGUAACUGUAUUAUACU